This 253-nucleotide ribosomal RNA is filed under the name uncultured prokaryote. RNAcentral's name for it is "partial 16S ribosomal RNA". It matches the Rfam family "Bacterial small subunit ribosomal RNA", at positions 525 to 777 of the family's 1533-position model. The record is from RNAcentral.
ACGAACCGUGCGAACGUUGUUCGGAUUCACUGGGCUUAAAGGGCGCGUAGGCGGCUUGCCAAGUCAGGGGUGAAAUCUUUCGGCUCAACCGGAAAAGUGCUUCUGAUACUGGCAGGCUGGAGGGAGGUAGGGGCAGAUGGAACUUCCGGUGGAGCGGUGAAAUGCGUAGAUAUCGGAAGGAACGCCGGUGGCGAAAGCGAUCUGCUGGAUCUCUUCUGACGCUGAUGCGCGAAAGCCAGGGGAGCAAACGGGA